RNAcentral lists this ribosomal RNA (253 nucleotides) under uncultured bacterium. Its description in RNAcentral is "partial 16S ribosomal RNA". It matches the Rfam family "Bacterial small subunit ribosomal RNA", at positions 524 to 776 of the family's 1533-position model. The record is from RNAcentral.
UACGAAGGGUGCAAGCGUUACUCGGAAUUACUGGGCGUAAAGCGUGCGUAGGUGGUUUGUUAAGUCUGAUGUGAAAGCCCCGGGCUCAACCUGGGAAUGGCAAUGGAUACUGGCAGGCUAGAGUGCGGUAGAGGGUAGUGGAAUUCCCGGUGUAGCGGUGAAAUGCGUAGAGAUCGGGAGGAACACCAGUGGCGAAGGCGGCUACCUGGACCAGCACUGACACUGAGGCACGAAAGCGUGGGGAGCAAACAGG